RNAcentral lists this ribosomal RNA (433 nucleotides) under uncultured bacterium. RNAcentral's name for it is "partial 16S ribosomal RNA". It matches the Rfam family "Bacterial small subunit ribosomal RNA", at positions 29 to 507 of the family's 1533-position model. The record is from RNAcentral.
AACGAACGCUGGCGGCAUGCCUAACACAUGCAAGUCGAACGAGACCUUCGGGUCUAGUGGCGCACGGGUGCGUAACGCGUGGGAAUCUGCCCUUGGGUUCGGAAUAACAGUGAGAAAUUACUGCUAAUACCGGAUGAUGUCUUCGGGCCAAAGAUUUAUCGCCCAGGGAUGAGCCCGCGUAGGAUUAGCUAGUUGGUGGGGUAAUGGCCUACCAAGGCGACGAUCCUUAGCUGGUCUGAGAGGAUGAUCAGCCACACUGGGACUGAGACACGGCCCAGACUCCUACGGGAAGCAGCAGUGGGGAAUAUUGGACAAUGGGCGCAAGCCUGAUCCAGCAAUGCCGCGUGAGUGAUGAAGGCCUUAGGGUUGUAAAGCUCUUUUACCCGGGAUGAUAAUGACAGUACCGGGAGAAUAAGCUCCGGCUAACUCCGUG